UAAGACGGAGGAUGCAAGCGUUAUCCGGAAUGAUUGGGCGUAAAGCGUCCGCAGGUGGCAGUUCAAGUCUGCUGUCAAAGACCGGGGCUUAACUUCGGAAAGGCAGUGGAAACUGAACAGCUAGAGUAUGGUAGGGGCAGAGGGAAUUCCUGGUGUAGCGGUGAAAUGCGUAGAUAUCAGGAAGAACAUCGGUGGCGAAGGCGCUCUGCUGGACCAUAACUGACACU
This 227-nucleotide ribosomal RNA is filed under the name uncultured bacterium. RNAcentral describes it as "partial 16S ribosomal RNA". It matches the Rfam family "Bacterial small subunit ribosomal RNA", at positions 521 to 747 of the family's 1533-position model. The record is from RNAcentral.